AGAGGAGCCUGUUCUAUAAUCGAUAAUCCCCGAUAAACCUCACCACCUAUUGCCAAUACAGCCUAUAUACCACCGUCCAGCCCGCCCUUUAAAGGAUAAACAGCAGGCAUAAUUAUAAACAUUAAAACGUCAGGUCAAGGUGUAGCAGAUAAGGUGGAAAGAAAUGGGCUACAUUUUCUAACUUAGAAAACACGGAUGAUUCUAUGAAAUAGUUUCUGAAGGAGGAUUUAGCAGUAAAAAGAAACAAGAAUGUUCUUUUUAAGACGGCAAUAAAGCGCGCACACACCGCCCGUCACCCU
RNAcentral lists this ribosomal RNA (299 nucleotides) under Salamandra atra. RNAcentral describes it as "partial 12S ribosomal RNA". The record is from RNAcentral. Lineage: Eukaryota; Metazoa; Chordata; Amphibia; Caudata; Salamandridae.